GUAGCUGUAGGAGAGGAACGUUAAGACCUUGUUUGGACGCGGGUUCGACUCCCGCCAGCUCCACCA
This 66-nucleotide transfer RNA is filed under the name Prevotellaceae bacterium. RNAcentral describes it as "tRNA-Ser". It matches the Rfam family "transfer-messenger RNA", at positions 310 to 374 of the family's 374-position model. Rfam says of the family: Bacterial tmRNA, also known as 10Sa RNA or SsrA, is named for its dual tRNA and mRNA-like properties. Its role is to liberate the mRNA from a stalled ribosome. Lineage: Bacteria; Pseudomonadati; Bacteroidota; Bacteroidia; Bacteroidales; Prevotellaceae. The record is from RNAcentral.